RNAcentral lists this RNase P RNA (364 nucleotides) under Sphingomonas abietis. RNAcentral's name for it is "Sphingomonas sp. PAMB00755 RNase P RNA component class A". It matches the Rfam family "Bacterial RNase P class A". Rfam says of the family: Ribonuclease P (RNase P) is a ubiquitous endoribonuclease, found in archaea, bacteria and eukarya as well as chloroplasts and mitochondria. Lineage: Bacteria; Pseudomonadati; Pseudomonadota; Alphaproteobacteria; Sphingomonadales; Sphingomonadaceae. The record is from RNAcentral.
CCAGAGGGUCGGGCGGCCGCGGCGUGCUUGCACGGCGAGGAAAGUCCGGGCUCCACGGAAUGCACGGUGCCGGGUAACGCCCGGCGGGGGUGACCCUAGGGAAAGUGCCACAGAAAACAGACCGCCCCGUUUCGACGGGGUAAGGGCGAAACGGUGCGGUAAGAGCGCACCGCGCCCCUGGUAACAGGGGCGGCAUGGCAAACCCCACCGGGAGCAAGACCGAAUAGGGAUCGCAUAUGGGGCCGCUUCCGCCUCGCGAUCCGGGUUGGUUGCUGGAGGCCGGGAGCAAUCCCGGCCCUAGAGGAAUGGUCGCCCAUCCGAUUUUAUCGGUGGACAGAACCCGGCUUACAGACCCUCUGGCGAU